Molecule: ribosomal RNA, 319 nt
Filed under: uncultured eukaryote
Lineage: Eukaryota
Description: partial 18S ribosomal RNA
Rfam family: Eukaryotic small subunit ribosomal RNA
Source: RNAcentral
CCCUUAGAUGUUCUGGGCUGCACGCGCGCUACACUGAUGCAUCCAACAAGUUUUUUCCUUGUUCGAGAGGACUAGGUAAUCUUAUGAGAAUGCAUCGUGAUGGGGAUAGAUUAUUGCAAUUAUUAAUCUUCAACGAGGAAUUCCUAGUAAGCGCGAGUCAUCAGCUCGUGCUGAUUACGUCCCUGCCCUUUGUACACACCGCCCGUCGCUGCAACUGAUUGGGUGACCUGGUGGACAUCUUGGACCGGCCCACUCAAUUUCGAGAGGACUGGAAAAGGCCGUAAAUCAGGUACAUCUAGAAAUUGCAAAAGUCGUAACA